Molecule: long non-coding RNA, 476 nt
Filed under: Rattus norvegicus (Norway rat)
Lineage: Eukaryota; Metazoa; Chordata; Mammalia; Rodentia; Muridae
Description: long non-coding RNA NONRATT024686
Source: RNAcentral
GCAAUGCAUUGCAAUAGGACAGUGAGAUCCCACCAGGAAACCAGUCCAACCUCCUCGAGUCUCCUAAGCACUCCACAGUUGGGGAUCUUCGUCCACGGACUGCCUACAAGCCUCUGCUGUGGUAGGCAGUUCGACUUGCUGUUCUUUGCCUUAAGUGUUUGUAGGAAUGCAAUGAUUCUAUUUAAGAUGUCAGAGCGUGUGGUGUGUGGGAGGGCGGGCCCCUUCCAGAUCAUUGAAGAAUGCAGCAUCGUGUUGCAGACCAGCCUAAUGCCCUUGUGCUGGAACCAAGAGGGGUGGGACCUGGUGGUGACCUCUCUGUAGCACCAGUGUUGUAAAAGUGUGUGUAGCAGGGAGUGACAGUGCAUGUCUACAACGUGAACACUCAGGAGGCUAAGGCGCUUGUGUGCGUGAUUAGUGCAAGGCCAGUUACCACUACAUAGCAAAAUCUCAAAACAGAAAUGAAAAACAAGAAAAGC